This 2264-nucleotide long non-coding RNA is filed under the name Macaca mulatta (Rhesus monkey). RNAcentral describes it as "lncRNA (ENSMMUG00000041241.2)". The record is from RNAcentral. Lineage: Eukaryota; Metazoa; Chordata; Mammalia; Primates; Cercopithecidae.
AUGGCUGUAAAUACAGAUGAAGCAUUGCUCACUGGCCCGCCACUCACUUCCUGCUGUGCAGUCCAGUUCCUAACAGGUCACAGACCAAUAUUCAUCCAUGGCCUGGAGAUUGGAUACCCCUACAUUAGAGGAUUCUGUGAAGGACACUGGGAAGGAAUGACGGGGAAGCCAGAACCAGUAAGGGAGAUGUCUCAGUGGUCAGAGAGUUUCCAGAGCAUCUUGGAAGACAACCAGUCCCAGAACCUAUAAACAGUGCUUCCCUUCAGAUGCGGCUUUUAUCCUGAUUGGUCAGAGAAAGAUAGACUGUUCCCUUGCUGAUAAAGGGCUUUUUGAAGACUUUUACAUAACUUCUGCAAUGCACUGGAAAAUAACACCCAGGAAAAGGCUGGGUGUUGGGGGUGGAUAAUAAACUCUUACUGCUGUAUGAAAAGCUACAUUUUUCAGAGUAAUAUGGUGAUUACAGAUAAAAAAAAAUAAAUUUUAAUAAUACCACAAUGCAGAGUCAUCAAAUAAUUGGACAUUGCUCCAGUAACUUCUGGGAGAAUUUGCACCUGUUGCCUCUUUCCCCAAGGAUGGAAGAGGUUGCCAGAACCAACUCCUCCUGCGAGGGUUACCUGAAGCUCGCGUAAGCAUCAGCAUUGGCUAGGUCAUCGUCUCUUCCAGUUCUGCCACCAACCAACUCGUUCCAAGAAAAUGUGGGAAAUAAUGCCUUAUCUUUAAGUAAGUCAGAAGCUGUCACACUUACAAAGAAAAAUGUUUUCUGGUCAGGGUUCCCUGUGGGCAUGUCCUUGCAGAUGCCUUGCUGCAGCUCUGAAUUUCUGGUUACAAUUAACUGGCGAUGAACUGAAGCUAUGCUAGUUUAGAUUAGGGGUUUUGAAAAAGCCUACUUGUAUAGUAACAGCAUACCUAGUCUUAGCUUUUAGGUUCUCUUUCUUCAAAGGGAACAUUCAGAGCCAGAUAGAGGCAGAGGUCUGCCAGGCAGCUUCUUAGAGCAACAAUCUAUAGGAGGAAACUAUAAGGGGGAACUCACAUAACACUAAAGUAAACUGGAAAUACAGCCUCAGCUAUCCUGAGUAAAAUGUAAUUGUCUCAAUACUCUUGAAAUAUCUAUUUUGGAGUUGGAAGACAAACACCACCCCACCACACACACGCAUGCACGCACACACACAAACAGAUACUCUUGAGUAUUUUGGCAAUGUAUACAUGCUAAAUAGUAAUUUGUUGUCUUUAACUGAAAUUCUAAAACCAAAUAACGCAUGGCAUAAUACUUAAGAGAAAUGAGUGAUUUUUUUAUUAUCCAAAAUGUUAAACCCUUUAAUAUACCUCCCAAGGGUUGUCUGGUUCAGAAACUCACAAAAGUAAAUGGAAGUGCAAACUAGAACUGCUGAAAAAAAUGGAAAACAAAUUUAAACAUCAUGAGCCAAUGAAGUAAAUUAAGUGACUCUAACUCUAUGUAAUGUUCAUUACCAGAAAUUAUUUUCCCACUCCUACUAAAUAAAUGUUAAGUAAUUAUUUAAAUGAUAUAAAUUAUGUUACAUUACUAACUUGCUUGGAGUGCUCACAUGAAAGUCUUAAUUACUCAUACUUUCUCACCACCAAAAAAAGAAAGAAAGAAAUAAGUUGCAGGGGUUGGGGGUUAAGAAAGGAAAGGAGGGAGAGAGGGAAGAAAAUAAUUGAUUUCUGCCAUUUUGGAAAACAGAUUGGCAGCUUCUUAAGAAGUUAAACACGUAUCAGCCGGGAGCGGUGGCUCAUGCCUGUAAUCCCAGCACUUUGGGAGGUCAGGGCGGGUGGAUCAUCUGAGGUCAAGAGUUUGAGACCAGUCUGGCCAAAAUGGCGAAACUCUAUCUCUACUAAAAAUACAAAAAUUAGCCGGGCGUGGUGGUGGGUGCCUAUAAUACCAGCUACUCGGGAAGCUGAGGCAGGAAGAAUCCCUUGAAUCUGGGGGAGACAGACGUUGCAGUGAGCCAAGCUCGCACCACUCGACUCCAGCCUGGGCAACAGAGUGAGACUCUGUCUCAAAAAAGAAAAAGAAAAAAAGUUAAACACAUAUCAACCAUAUGAUCCAGCCAUUCUACUCCCAGGUAUUUACCUAAGAGAAAGGGAAACACAUAUCAAUACAAAAAUUUAAACACAAAUGUUCAUUGUGAGGUAAGAGGAAGGGCUUGACUCAGGAGGGGGACUUGACUACAGAAAUAGGGCUUGGACACUGGACUGAGUUGAGGACCAGCUAAAACACAGAAUGAGGCAGAAGCAGCUUUCCAUUA